GAUGAACGCUGGCGGCGUGCUUAACACAUGCGAGUCGAACGAAGCACUUUAUUUGAUUUCCUUCGGGACUGAUUAUUUUGUGACUGAGUGGCGGACGGGUGAGUAACGCGUGGGUAACCUGCCUUGUACAGGGGGAUAACAGUUGGAAACGGCUGCUAAUACCGCAUAAGCGCACAGCAUCGCAUGAUGCAGUGUGAAAAACUCCGGUGGUAUAAGAUGGACCCGCGUUGGAUUAGCUAGUUGGUGAGGUAACGGCCCACCAAGGCGACGAUCCAUAGCCGACCUGAGAGGGUGACCGGCCACAUUGGGACUGAGACACGGCCCAAACUCCUACGGGAGGCAGCAGUGGGGAAUAUUGCACAAUGGGCGAAAGCCUGAUGCAGCGACGCCGCGUGAGCGAAGAAGUAUUUCGGUAUGUAAAGCUCUAUCAGCAGGGAAGAUAAUGACGGUACCUGACGAAGAAGCACCGGCUAAAUACGUG
RNAcentral lists this ribosomal RNA (481 nucleotides) under uncultured bacterium. RNAcentral's name for it is "partial 16S ribosomal RNA". It matches the Rfam family "Bacterial small subunit ribosomal RNA", at positions 28 to 507 of the family's 1533-position model. The record is from RNAcentral.